This is a non-coding RNA of Pelobates cultripes (western spadefoot toad), 515 nucleotides long. Lineage: Eukaryota; Metazoa; Chordata; Amphibia; Anura; Pelobatidae. The record is from the annotation of a GenBank genome assembly.
CAGCACCGAGGGCCCAGGUCUUAAACUCAGGAUUCGUAUCCGAACAAAUAGUAAUUACAAAUGGGACGAGACAAGGGUGUCCGCUGUCCCCUCUGCUGUACGUGCUGGCACUAGAGCCACUGGCUGCCACGAUUAGGGACCACCCGGCGGUACACGGAGCCCGAGUGGGAGACAGAGAGUACACCCUCAGCCUCUUUGCGGACGACAUACUCCUAACCCUGACACAACCGCAAAUGUCCAUACCCAACCUCCUUCAGUGCAUACAAGACUAUAACAAAGUAUCGUAUUACAAACUUAACCUGACGAAGACACAAGCAAUGGGAAUCCACCUCCCGGGACAAACUCUUCAAACUCUGACGGAAUCUUUCAACUUUGACUGGAGAGACGAUUACAUAAAGUUUUUAGGGAUCAAUUUAGCCAGGACGACCCACCAAAUGUAUAAAUAUAACUACGAGAAACUAUCACACGAAAUAACGCAGACGCUCGACAAGUGGAACAGUGACUUCCACUCGUGG